AGACAAAUGAUGACGAAGACGAUGACGACGAAGAAGCCGGCGAAGAGGAGAUGGUUGAUGUUGAUACUGAAGAU
Molecule: small nucleolar RNA, 74 nt
Filed under: Drosophila yakuba
Lineage: Eukaryota; Metazoa; Arthropoda; Insecta; Diptera; Drosophilidae
Description: snoRNA:GE27035
Source: RNAcentral